Non-coding RNA from Nannospalax galili (Upper Galilee mountains blind mole rat), 607 nucleotides. The record is from the annotation of a RefSeq genome assembly. Lineage: Eukaryota; Metazoa; Chordata; Mammalia; Rodentia; Spalacidae.
AUGAAGAAAAUUAACACCUGGGUACUGAGGGAGGGGCCAGGAAGAGGCUAGGAGAGAGCAGGAAGGGGAGUGGCUUGCUGAUGUAGCAGUGAUAAAGGGAUUUUUUUCUAAUUCAUUGAACAAAGUUGAUUAUGCUUCUUAGAGAAGAAACUGUUUAAAUAUGACUAUAUUUUCAGGUUUGAAAUCUGAAUCUUCAGUGAAAAGAAUAAUGAAGCCCUUGAAUGUUUUAUUGGUGGUUCUAUGGCUUCAGUUGAACAGGGUGAGCAGCCAGCAGAAGGUGGAGCAGCAUCCUGAAUCCCUCGGGGUUCUGGAGGGAGCCACGGCCUCUCUCAACUGCACUUUCAGUGACAGCAGUUCUCAGUACUUCUUUUGGUACAAACAGCAUUCUGGGGAACGCCCUGAGUUUCUGAUGUCCAUAUUCUCCAGUGGUGACAAAGAAGAAGGAAGAUUCAGAGCUCAUCUCGAUAAAGCCAGCCGGCACCUUUCCCUGCACAUCAGAGGCUCCCAGCCCAGUGACUCUGCUGUCUACCUCUGUGCAGUGAGCACACAGUGCUCCCCAGGCACCUGCACUCUGGACACAAAAUCAGCAGGUCCCAACAAGACCUGA